UAUAUAUAUAUAUAUAUACAUAUUUGUUCAUAUUUGAAAUUAUUCUUAGUUAUACAACAGUUUAAUAAAUAUACAUUUAAUAUUAUACGUUUUACUUUUCUUUUUUUUUUUUUUUUUUUAAUAUAUUUUUACACACCAGAUUUAAGCUAAUAAUAUUUGCACACACAGAAGAAAUUUUGUUUUGGUAAUAACUGUACACUUCACACCAGCUUUUAUCAUGGGAAUUAUGAAGUAAAAAAAAAUAAAGCCAUUAAAUUUGGAAGAAGGUUGUUAAUUGUGCAUAUACAUGUAUAAAUAUGUGCAUUUGUAUUUGUAUAUAUGUAAUUUUUUUUUUUUUUUUUUUUUUUUUUUUUACAAAAACAUACAUAAGUAAAUGUACUGCUACAAUAAACUCCAAAAAAAAAAAAAAAAAAAAAAAAAAAAAGAAAAGAACAAAACAGAACAGAACAGAACAGAACAAAACAAAACAGAACAAAACAAAACAAAAUAGAACAGAACAGAACAAAACAAAAUAAGAAAGAACAGAACAGAACAGAACAGAACAGAACAGAACAGAACAGAACAGAACAGAACAAAACAAAACAAAACAAAACAAGAAAGAACAGAACAAAACAAAACAAAACAGAACAGCAAAAUAUUGUAACAUUGUAUGAGUGUGAUAACAAAAAGUCUUUACAUAAUGUUGUUUCUUUAAUCAUCAAAAUAAAAUAAAAAAAUAUAUAUGACUAGGUCUUAUA
This 737-nucleotide long non-coding RNA is filed under the name Piliocolobus tephrosceles (Ugandan red Colobus). RNAcentral's name for it is "lncRNA (ENSPTEG00000013916.1)". Lineage: Eukaryota; Metazoa; Chordata; Mammalia; Primates; Cercopithecidae. The record is from RNAcentral.